Molecule: long non-coding RNA, 270 nt
Organism: Cyprinus carpio carpio
Lineage: Eukaryota; Metazoa; Chordata; Actinopteri; Cypriniformes; Cyprinidae
Source: Ensembl
GCUAAUCAUGCUAAAAACAUGCUAGCGACAUGCUAGUCAUUUGCUAAUCAUGCUAGAAACAUGCUAGCGACAUGCUAGUCACUCGCUAAUCAUGCUAAAAACAUGCUAGUGAAAUGCUACAUGAUUAGCAAGUUACUAGCAUGUCACUAGCAUGUUUCUAGCAUGAUUAGCAUGUGACUAGCAUGUCACUAGCAUGUCGCUAGCAUGUUUUUAGCAUGAUUAGCAAGUGACUAGCAUGUCGCUACCAUGUUUUUAGCAUGAUUAGCCGGU